RNAcentral lists this ribosomal RNA (253 nucleotides) under uncultured bacterium. RNAcentral's name for it is "partial 16S ribosomal RNA". It matches the Rfam family "Bacterial small subunit ribosomal RNA", at positions 524 to 776 of the family's 1533-position model. The record is from RNAcentral.
UACAGAGGGUGCGAGCGUUAAUCGGAAUUACUGGGCGUAAAGCGCGCGCAGGCGGUUCUCCAAGUCAGUGGUGAAAGCCCGGAGCUCAACUCCGGAACUGCCAUUGAAACUGUUGAACUUGAGGACGAGAGAGGUGAGUGGAAUUCCCAGUGUAGAGGUGAAAUUCGUAGAUAUUGGGAAGAACACCAGUGGCGAAGGCGGCUCACUGGCUCGUUUCUGACGCUCAGGCGCGAUAGCGUGGGGAUCAAACAGG